Molecule: ribosomal RNA, 270 nt
Filed under: uncultured archaeon
Lineage: Archaea
Description: partial 16S ribosomal RNA
Rfam family: Archaeal small subunit ribosomal RNA
Source: RNAcentral
CAGCACCUCAAGUGGUCAGGAUGAUUAUUGGGCCUAAAGCAUCCGUAGCCGGCUCUGUAAGUUUUCGGUUAAAUCUGUACGCUUAACGUACAGGCUGCCGGGAAUACUGCAGAGCUAGGGAGUGGGAGAGGUAGACGGUACUCGGUAGGAAGGGGUAAAAUCCUUUGAUCUAUUGAUGACCACCUGUGGCGAAGGCGGUCUACCAGAACACGUCCGACGGUGAGGGAUGAAAGCUAGGGGAGCAAACCGGAUUAGAUACCCGAGUAGUCC